RNAcentral lists this ribosomal RNA (253 nucleotides) under uncultured bacterium. Its description in RNAcentral is "partial 16S ribosomal RNA". It matches the Rfam family "Bacterial small subunit ribosomal RNA", at positions 524 to 776 of the family's 1533-position model. The record is from RNAcentral.
CACGGGGGGAGCAAGCGUUGUUCGGAUUCACUGGGCGUAAAGGGUGCGUAGGUGGCCUGGACAGUUUGAUGUGAAAGCUCGGAGCUUAACUCCGAAAUGGCAUUGAAUACUACUGGGCUUGAGGGUCGGAGGGGAGACUGGAAUUCUCGGUGUAGCAGUGAAAUGCGUAGAUAUCGAGAGGAACACCAGUGGCGAAGGCGAGUCUCUGGACGACCCCUGACACUGAGGCACGAAAGCUAGGGGAGCAAACAGG